GAGCCACACCAACCACACACACUUCCCCUCGCGCUUCCUUCUCCUCCGCCUCCUCGACCCGAUCCCACUCGCGGCAUCCUCCGCCGCCGCGGAGCGAUGGCAGCCCGCUCCCCUUACUUCGCCCCCGAGGAAGGCGCCCGGUGCAUCCGCCCAGGGGAGUCACCUGCCGCGGCGCUCCGCCGGAUCCUGGCGACGCCAGGCGCCCACCAGGCGCCCUGCUGCUUCGACGCGCUCGGCGCCCGCCUUGUCGAGCGCGCGGGGUUCCCGAUCUGCUUCAUGGGCGGUUUCUGUGUUUCUGCCUCACGACUUGGAUUGCCAGAUGUUGGAUUAAUCUCCUAUGGAGAAAUGGUUGAUCAAGGGCGUCUAAUCACCGAAGCAGUUUCGGUUCCCGUGAUUGGUGAUGGAGACAAUGGUUACGGAAAUUCUAUGAACAUCAAGAGAACUGUAAAAGGAUAUAUUAAUGCUGGGUUGGCUGGAAUCAUGCUUGAAGAUCAGGUGGCACCAAAAGCAUGUGGACACACUGAAGGAAGGAAAGUCAUCUCGAGGGAGGAAGCGGUCAUGCACAUAAAAGCUGCUAUAGACACUAGGAAGGAGAGUGCCUCUGACAUUGUUAUUGUGGCGAGGACAGAUUCCCGUCAAGCUGUUUCUCUUGAUGAAGCAUUAUGGAGAGUUCAGGCUUUUGCUGAUGCUGGAGCAGAUGUUCUAUUUAUUGAUGCCCUUGCUUCAAUAGAAGAGAUGAAGGCAUUCUGUGCGGUUGCACCUGGGGUACCAAAGAUGGCAAACAUGUUAGAAGGUGGUGGUAAAACUCCCAUAUUGACCCCUGCUGAACUCAAGGAGAUUGGUUUUAGCCUUGUAGUCUACCCGUUGUCCCUAAUUGGGGUGGCAAUGCGUGCAAUGGAGGAUGCUCUACUCGCCAUAAAAGGUGGUGGUGUACCCUCACCUGCCAGCCUCCCAUCUUUUCAGGAGAUCAAGGAUACUCUAGGGUUCAACCGCUAUUACCAGGAAGAUAAACAGUACACUGUCCCUCAAGCCCAACCAUUGAUGCCAAGUGGUGAGCCAUGAUGAUUUCUACCAUUAUCCUGUUCAAUGUAGACAUGACUUGGCAAGCCCUGAUGGUUUAUUCCAUAACCCUCUUCAGUGUAGACAUGUUAACCCCAAGUGGUAACCCGUAGAAAGGAGCGGCCCUGUUCAAUUCUCAGGAGGCAUAUGGAAAUGGGAUCCAGGUGUCCACUGAGCGAUCAGUAUCCAUUUGCUUUCGAGAAUUUGAGAUUUGUACCUCUGGGCAAUGAGGCAGAGCAAUCGCGUUUAUCUUGAGGCAGACGAUUUUAGCAACUUGUAAAUGAGGCGGCGUGACAAAAUGUUUGUAAAUGUAUGCUGCUUUGGUGUCAGCAAACCUGGAUUCCUUGUGUUAAUUUUCAAUUUCAACAAAAUAAACCACCUUCGAAGUUGUUGAGAAA
Molecule: RNA transcript, 1457 nt
Organism: Triticum dicoccoides
Lineage: Eukaryota; Viridiplantae; Streptophyta; Magnoliopsida; Poales; Poaceae
Gene name: 2,3-dimethylmalate lyase-like
Exons: 6
Source: RefSeq, a predicted model, not a curated record